AGCAGUAGCCGCGGGAAUACGUAGGUGGCAAGCGUUGUCCGGAAUUAUUGGGCGUAAAGGGCUCGCAGGCGGUUUCUUAAGUCUGAUGUGAAAGCCCCCGGCUCAACCGGGGAGGGUCAUUGGAAACUGGGAAACUUGAGUGCAGAAGAGGAGAGUGGAAUUCCACGUGUAGCGGUGAAAUGCGUAGAGAUGUGGAGGAACACCAGUGGCGAAGGCGACUCUCUGGUCUGUAACUGACGCCGAGGAGCGAAAGCGUGGGGAGCGAACAGGAUUAGAUACCCGCGUAGUCCCUGUCUCUUAUAC
This 303-nucleotide ribosomal RNA is filed under the name uncultured bacterium. RNAcentral describes it as "partial 16S ribosomal RNA". It matches the Rfam family "Bacterial small subunit ribosomal RNA", at positions 507 to 807 of the family's 1533-position model. The record is from RNAcentral.